UACGUAGGGAGCAAGCGUUGUUCGGAUUUACUGGGCGUAAAGGGCGCGUAGGCGGCGCGGUAAGUCACUUGUGAAAUCUCUGAGCUUAACUCAGAACGGCCAAGUGAUACUGCAGUGCUAGAGUGCAGAAGGGGCAAUCGGAAUUCUUGGUGUAGCGGUGAAAUGCGUAGAUAUCAAGAGGAACACCUGAGGUGAAGACGGGUUGCUGGGCCAACACUGACGCUGAUGCGCGAAAGCCAGGGGAGCAAACGGG
Molecule: ribosomal RNA, 253 nt
Filed under: uncultured bacterium
Lineage: Bacteria
Description: partial 16S ribosomal RNA
Rfam family: Bacterial small subunit ribosomal RNA
Source: RNAcentral